RNAcentral lists this ribosomal RNA (253 nucleotides) under uncultured bacterium. RNAcentral describes it as "partial 16S ribosomal RNA". It matches the Rfam family "Bacterial small subunit ribosomal RNA", at positions 524 to 776 of the family's 1533-position model. The record is from RNAcentral.
UACGUAGGUGGCAAGCGUUGUCCGGAUUUACUGGGCAUAAAGAGCGCGCAGGCGGUCGGAUCAGUCGAAUGUGAAAGCCCCCGGCUCAACUGGGGAGGGUCAUUCGAUACUGUCCGACUCGAAGGCAGGAGAGGGAAGCGGAAUUCCCGGUGUAGUGGUGAAAUGCAUAGAUAUCGGGAGGAACACCAGUGGCGAAGGCGGCUUUCUGGCCUGUUCUUGACGCUGAGGCGCGAAAGCUAGGGGAGCGAACGGG